Small nuclear RNA from Manis javanica (Malayan pangolin), 189 nucleotides. RefSeq annotates it as U2 spliceosomal RNA. NCBI's taxonomy places the organism in Eukaryota, Metazoa, Chordata, Mammalia, Pholidota, Manidae. The record is from RefSeq and is a predicted model, not a curated record.
AUCACUGCUCGAUCUUUUGGCUAAGAUCCAGUGUAGUAUCUGUUCUUAUCAGCAAUAUCUGAUAUGCCCUCUAUUUGAGGACAAUAUAUUAAAUGGGCUUUUGGAGCAGGGAGAUGGAAUAUAAGCUUGCUCUGUCCACUCCACGCAUCGACCUGGUAUGGCAGUACCCCCGGGAACAGUGGGGGGGAA